UUUGCUGACGAGUGGCGGACGGGUGAGUAAAGCUUGGGAAUCUGUCUUAUGGAGGGGGAUAACUACGGGAAACUGUAGCUAAUACCGCGUAACAUCUUUGGAUUAAAGUGUGGGCUCUUCGGACCACACGCCAUAAGUUGAGCCCAAGUGGGAUUAGGUAGUUGGUGGGGUAAUGGCCUACCAAGGCAGUGAUCUAUAGCUGAUCUGAGAGGAUGAUCAGCCACACUGGAACUGAGAUACGGUCCAG
This 247-nucleotide ribosomal RNA is filed under the name uncultured bacterium. RNAcentral's name for it is "partial 16S ribosomal RNA". It matches the Rfam family "Bacterial small subunit ribosomal RNA", at positions 84 to 334 of the family's 1533-position model. The record is from RNAcentral.